RNAcentral lists this ribosomal RNA (292 nucleotides) under uncultured bacterium. RNAcentral describes it as "partial 16S ribosomal RNA". It matches the Rfam family "Bacterial small subunit ribosomal RNA", at positions 505 to 796 of the family's 1533-position model. The record is from RNAcentral.
GUGUCAGCCGCCGCGGUAAUACGAAGGGUGCGAGCGUUAUUCGGAAUCACUGGGCGUAAAGGGUGCGUAGACGGUAUGUUAAGUUUGUUGUUAAAGGCUCCGGCCUAACUGGAGUAUUGCGAUGAAAACUGGCAAACUAGAGGGUGAGAGAGAGAAGUGGAAUUCCCGGAGUAGCGGUAAAAUGCGUGGAUCUCGGGAGGAACACCAAUGGCGAAGGCAGCUUCUUGGCUCAUUCCUGACGUUGAGGCACGAAAGCGUGGGGAGCAAACAGGAUUAGAAACCCCAGUAGUCC